UGAAAGUCAUGCAGACCUUCAAAUUGACUAUGGGCUAUUUUCAGUCCUCAUCCUAUUGUUGCUCCUGCAGCACCGAUCCCUGCUGACAGCUCUCUUCUGGAAAUGCUCACAUACUUGACUUUGGAAACACCCUGACUCUGUUCUCCUCCAGUCUAAUUGGUAGUUCUUUCUCAGUUUCCUCUGAGACCAACUCUUCCAUAGACUUCUGAUUUUGCCCAAUUGAUUGGACUCCAAGGAAAAUAUAUUUUUAAUGCUUUGGAGGAAAAUUUGUAUUGAAGAAAGGAAGUCUGGUAGCAUCUGUCUACAAUCUUUGGAUCAGGGAUCUGGUCCUUCUAAUCCAUACCUGUGAUCAUCCUGAAUUUUGGCCAGUCUACCAUUUUAUGAAAGGAGGAAAUUUGGACAUAGAUACAGGAAGACGACAGCCACCUACAUGCUAAGGUGAGAGACCUCAGAAGAAACCCUGCCAACACCUCGAUCCCUGACUUCUAUUUUUACCCCUCCCCCAUGCACUUGAUCUCUGACUUCUAGACUCCAGAAUUGUGAGAAGUAAAUUUCUAUUGUUUAAGUUACCAGUCUGUGGUAGUUUGUGAUAGCCUGAGCAAACUCAUACAUAUGAAAUGUGGGAAAUUUGAUUAAAAGGCUAACAGUUUUUAUGAAAACUGUUCCCAAAUGAUUCCACAUGUUUUCAGUAUUCUUGGCCAAAGCCUGGAUUAUAAUGAGCAAGAGGUAGGAAUAAAUUAACUUUCUAAUUUUUAAGCACCAUAUGUGUUGAAACUUAGGU
Microcebus murinus (gray mouse lemur) is the source of this 781-nucleotide non-coding RNA. Lineage: Eukaryota; Metazoa; Chordata; Mammalia; Primates; Cheirogaleidae. The record is from RefSeq and is a predicted model, not a curated record.